GCGGGAAUAGCUCAAUUGGCUAGAGCAUUAGCCUUCCAAGCUAAGGGUUGCGGGUUCGAGUCCCGUUUCCCGCUCCA
RNAcentral lists this transfer RNA (77 nucleotides) under Deltaproteobacteria bacterium. RNAcentral describes it as "tRNA-Gly". It matches the Rfam family "tRNA". Rfam says of the family: Transfer RNA (tRNA) molecules are approximately 80 nucleotides in length. Their secondary structure includes four short double-helical elements and three loops (D, anti-codon, and T loops). Lineage: Bacteria; Pseudomonadati; Myxococcota; Myxococcia. The record is from RNAcentral. RNAcentral also lists the same sequence under 2 other names.